GUAAUUGAUACGGAAGGAGUGCCGAAGCCGAAGGCAAAGUCGAGUUCUUGUUGACGAUUAAUAUCUAACGUUAUACAAUACCGUACAUAUAGGUAGACUGAAUUUCCACACCAUGGCAAAUCAAAUUCACAUUUUGACCUCCCAUUCAAAAGACGUCAACUGCUGCACGUUUUCUGCCAACCUGCUGGCCACGUGCUCCGGGGAUAAAUCGGUUCGCCUCUGGGAUGCAACGUCGUUCGAGGAACUCCCCUUUUCUCCGCUCCUCGGCCAUUCAUACUACGUGCACUGGUGCGCUUUCAGUGCUUUUGGGACCAGAUUAGCGACUUGCUCGACCGACGGGAAGGUCAUCGUGUGGGAUGCUAGCAGCGGGGAGACAGUAGCCGUGUUUGAGCAUAUCCAAAAGCCCAUCCUUAGGGUUUGCGUCUUUUCACCAGACUCUCAGUAUUUGUUGAGUGGAGGAGCAGAUAAUGAACUAUGGAUGUGGGAUCUCAACAAGAAAACAUGUACAAGAAAGUUCGAAGGUCAUAUAAGUGUCAUCACAGCGUGUGCAUUCACACCCGAUGGUGCUCAUGUUGUAUCAGGGUCAACGGCUGGUGAUCUCAGGGUAUGGGACGCCCUCCACGGUCAAGGAAAAUGUCUUUUCUACGAUCCGGACUGCCAUGAUCUAGCUCUCACUGGUUUAGCCAUCUCACCAACGUUUGGUUCUGCAAAUGCUGCAGUGCGUGAAACCCUUGGCCAAAGAACAUUCUAUAUGCUGGCUACGUGUGGUGAUAACAUUGUCAGACUCUGGGAUUUAGACACAGUACCAGCGUGUUCUACCAGACUUCGAUGUGAUCUGAAAGGCCAUUCAGCCACUGUACAAGCCUUGUCUUUCUCUGCAGAUGGACGCCUUCUUGCUUCAGGGGCAGUGGAUAAGCUAGCUAUCAUUUGGAAUCCAAUUGUUGGUGAGAUGUUGUACACUCUGGAGGGACAUGCAAGGUAUGUGACGACUGUAGCCUUCUCCCAAGACAACAUGUUCUUAGCAACAGGCUCCCACAGUAAAGUCCAUGUUUGGAAAUUGGGUUUCAACCAGCCGUUACAACCCGCAGUCUCAUCAGCCAGUCCGUCUGCCCCUUCUAUUAGCCCGGCCAAUCAGCAGAGCUCUCUCACGGAAACCGGACCUUCGUUGGUUCAUAACGUGAUAUCUGAUUGGACGGUUGAUGCUGUGUGUGAGUGGUUACAGAGUAUCGAGUUAGAGCAGUACUGUGAGGUGUUCAAAGAGAAUCACAUUGAUGGUCAAGAGUUGCAGAACCUCACUACCGAUGUCCUUUCUAAAGACCUCAACGUCAAGGCCCUUGGUCAUCGUCAGAAGAUCUUGAGAGGUAUCCAGGCAGUCCGUGAAAAAGGGUUCUUCUCCGGGUCUCAGGGACCAGUACCAGAUGAUCAGAUACCUGAUGAGUACAUGUGCCCUAUCAGUAGAGAGAUCAUGAAGGAGCCGGUCAUAGCAGCAGAUGGCUACACUUACGAAAGGAAAGCCAUAGAGAACUGGUUCCGGGCGGGGCGUAACACCAGCCCCAUGACCAACGCUCCCCUAUCUUCCAUCAACCUGACCCCCAACCGAAGUCUGAAGAUGAUAAUCGCUCGGAUCUACGAUUUAUGAUGCGGUCGGGGCAAUUUUGUCACGUCUACAUGUAUAUCCACCCUACUACAGUAUGUUGAAAUCUGCUGAGAAUCCAAACCCCCUGGAAAAUGGGAUGAGAGAUUAUAGAAUAAUGGAUGAUUUCGAGUUCAGUGUUGGUGCUGAGACUUUUCAGAUUUCCUUCUGUAGCCCAUCAUCGACAGCUCAACAAGUAUUUGGUGUUGUAUAGGUGUUAAGGCACUAUUCAGAUUGCAUUCUCUAGCUCAAGCACCUCAUGUGAAUUUACAAACUUAAGCCAAAUUAUUGAUAGCUCAAUGCCUGUUUGGUGUUUUGUUGGUGUUAGUGGCAUAUUUCAGUUUGCCUUCUCUCGCUUUCAGCACCUGAUGUGAGUUAACACUAACAAGCCAGGUCACAUUAUUGAUUGCUCAAUGCCUAUUUGGCGUUGUGUUGGUGCUAGUUUUGGUGCGAGUGGUGCUGUUCAUUUUGCCUUUCCUAGCCCCAACUCCUAGUGCAAGUUUGGUGGUGUGCUGUUGUGAAAUUUGGCCCAACACCAACUCAAAAAAGUCAACACCAAGCUUGAACUCAUCCUUCAGUCUACCUAUAGUAUCAUCAUUAUAAUGAUCAUGAAUAUGUUUGAAUCUUCAUGCAAUCUUUUCAUGUGUUCAUUGAAACCAGACAUUCCAAAUCAUCAUUAACUACACUACAAUUAUGUUAAGUGAAUGAAACAUACAUGUAGACUGGAGAGAAUAAGGGGAUGUAUAUGAAUCAGUUACUUGUUUUUAUGUACAUGUAUACAGAUAUUGCCUGCCUAGAGGAUGAAUGUUAUACAAAUAAUGAAUGUGUAUGCGUGCAAUGGGAAGAAUAUUUUCAUGAGAUGAAAGAUGUAAAGUUCCAUUCAACGAGGCGUUAGCCGAGUUGAAUGGAACUUUUAAUCUUUCAUCGAAUGUAAAUAUUCUUUCCAUUGCACAAAUAUUUACAUUCAUUAUUUGUUUUAUAUAACUCAUAUAAGUUACAAAGUUUUUAAAAAUGUAAAAAAAGGAAUAAAAAGAUAAAGAUUAGGUUGGCCUAUUUCCAGCAACUAAUUUUUCUCUGAUAAUUGCUAGUCGGUGGAUAACACCAUGUAUCGACAGCUCAUCAGCCCUUUGCUUUCAUGUUUGUGACGCGCAUUGCUUCAUGGAUCUGAGUCGAGUGCGCACAGUCAGUUUGAUCUGCGCUAACUUCAUGCGCGCGAACACACACACACACACAUACACAAUAAGUAGACAUACACAUGAUUAUACUGAGGGAGCGCUAGCGCGCGUACCGUGCAAUGGGAAAAUAAAAAAUGCACGGUCACCGUGCAAUGGAAAAUUACAAAAUGCACGCAGUAAAAAAUGGACCAAAUAUUGAACACCUUUCAACCAAUCAGAUGGCAAGAAUCUUCGUUUGAGUUAUAUAAAACAUUUCAUUUCCCAGACAGAGUUCCAUUAUUUCCAAGGGAUUAUGUUUUGCCCGAAUAGCACAGCGCUGAGGGAAAAUAUUCUCCUGAGAGAAAAAUAUAGCUUCAGAGGGGAGUUGAAAUGUUAUUUAUUAAACAGAUAGACCAGGCAAUAUCUGUUAUAUGAUAUAGUCUGUGUAGAUUCGCCAUCAGAGUCUGCAUUGGCUUUGUGAUAAACUCGCAAUGCUAACUGCAGCUUUGAUCCACAUAUAUGUCAUUAUAGAAAAAUACAGCUCGUGCAUGCUUCUUUGAUACGCACUAGCGCAUACGUUAUAAAGCGAACCUCCUGAUUACUAAGCUUAUAAACAGUGAUAGACGCCACCUUAGUGACUAUACCACUGCCGUUUACAAAACAACAUAUUCACUGAGGUGAAGUCGAAAUCUAGAAUAUAAUAAAUGCGAUCCUUGCAGCUUUGAUCCUGUGAUGGUACUAGUUUGAAUCUACUUAACCUGUAUAAUAUAUAUUCAUAUUAUCAAGAUUCUACAACAUUACUAUGAAUAUUUGUACAUAAAGUAUUAAGAUAAAUUUGUAGAGCAAAUGUGACUGAGGUAUAACUUUGUCGUUAUGGCAACUACCAUGGUAACAGGGCUCAGCAGCCAAUCACAAUCAAGCGUUCCGAGGAAGUUAUAAUAAUUGCACAGUUACAUACAACACCUACGUUUCUAUCGAAUGGGCAUCAGGAGAUUGAAAAACUUUCAAUUCAGAGAGAGUCAGAGACAACCUUAUUAAGUAUGUAACAGAUAUUGCCAUUGGAUCUUAUUUUAACACUGAAGUUUAUAUUUUGAUAUUUUGUUGGAUUUUGAAUGCUCAAUAGGUUUCCAAUAUUAGAUUCCACCGAUCAAAAUCCUGAACUUUGUGAAUCAUGCAAAUGUGCAGUUGAUUUUGAAUUUGUUCAAAAAAUUACAAUUGAGGUAAUAAUGAGAAACUGGAUUACCGUUUGCAUGAUUUUGCAAUGCGCGUAUGAAUAACAGUAACUUUUUUUUUAUUUAUUUAUUGAAUAUCUACCUGAAUAUGUAAUAAAAUACAUGAAUAUGCAAUGAAUAUUUUUAAUC
RNA transcript from Lytechinus pictus (painted urchin), 4148 nucleotides. It is a transcript of the gene named WD repeat, SAM and U-box domain-containing protein 1-like, with no coding region annotated. Lineage: Eukaryota; Metazoa; Echinodermata; Echinoidea; Temnopleuroida; Toxopneustidae. The record is from RefSeq and is a predicted model, not a curated record. The transcript is spliced from 13 exons.